Long non-coding RNA from Trachemys scripta elegans, 423 nucleotides. RefSeq lists it as uncharacterized. The transcript is spliced from 3 exons. NCBI's taxonomy places the organism in Eukaryota, Metazoa, Chordata, Testudines, Emydidae. The record is from RefSeq and is a predicted model, not a curated record.
GGGACAGAGAAGCUGAGGAACGCUGUCUAUGUUGUCUCAGCAAAGAGCCAAUUUAUUGAGUAUAGGUUACAUGUUGCAGAUGCCCACAUGGAAUCUUGCACAGCAGCCAAAGAGUUGUGGAGCAGUCUGAGGGCAAGGAAGGUCAGAAUUCAUACAGAUUCACAACAGCAAUUAUAGGAUGACAAACUCCACCCCUAAAACAAAUAUGACUGGUAAUCAUCAUCAACAAGUCUACUGACAGAAUUCCCAUCACAUAUGUCUACGGUCAAAGUGUCAAGCUGCUUGAUGAAAUGGCCCAGAUCAGGGUGUUGAGCUCAAAGAUGAAAGGGAGUUCUUGGUGCUCAGCAUUUGUUGAACAAGAAGUCAAGCAUUUGUUGAGACCAACAGGACCGCACCUGUUUGCAUGCAGAGAAGAAACCCACC